RNAcentral lists this ribosomal RNA (253 nucleotides) under uncultured bacterium. RNAcentral's name for it is "partial 16S ribosomal RNA". It matches the Rfam family "Bacterial small subunit ribosomal RNA", at positions 524 to 776 of the family's 1533-position model. The record is from RNAcentral.
UACGUAGGUGGCAAGCGUUGUCCGGAUUUACUGGGCGUAAAGGGCGUGCAGGCGGCUUGUUAAGUGCAGGGUGAAAGCUCCCGGCUCAACUGGGCGGGGUUAUGCCAGACUGGCAGGCUAGAGGGUGGGAGAGGGAUGUGGAAUUCCGGGUGUAGUGGUGAAAUGCGUAGAGAUCCGGAGGAACCCCAGAGGCGAAGGCGGCAUCCUGGCCCACGACUGACACUCAGACACGACAGCAUGGGGAGCGAACGGG